This 751-nucleotide long non-coding RNA is filed under the name Cucumis sativus (cucumber). RNAcentral describes it as "long non-coding RNA (CSAT_LNC001176)". The record is from RNAcentral. Lineage: Eukaryota; Viridiplantae; Streptophyta; Magnoliopsida; Cucurbitales; Cucurbitaceae.
GCCAUCCUCGUUCCGGCUUCUUUCUCCGAUUUCCAGAGCCUCGUCGAUGCUGUGAAGCGUGUAGAUGUCGUCAUCUCCGCCCUGUCCGGUGUCCAUUUUAGAAGCCAUAGCAUUCUCCUUCAACUCAAACUUGUUGAAGCCAUUCGAGCUGCAGGGAAUAUCGAGGUUAAUUUUCUUUUAAUUUUCAUUACAAACAUUUAUUAUCUACAAAAGCUUCAUCACUCCAUUAAAGAUUGUGAUCUAUGAAAUAAACUUUAUGUGAUCUAACAACUUGAGGUUUUAGGGUAAUCAAAAUGCAUGAUUUAAGGAAAUCCUUGUUGUAUUUAUGUAUUUGUACAGAGAUUCUUGCCAUCAGAAUAUGGAAUAGAUCCAGCAAGGAUGUUAAAUGCAAUUGAACAAGGAAGAGACACAUUUGAACAAAAAAUGGCAGUAAGAAAGGCAAUUGAAGAAGCAAAUAUUCCUUUUACUUAUGUGUCGGCCAACUGUUUUGCUGGUUACUUUGCUGCUAACCUCUCUCAAAUGCAUACUCUUGUUCCUCCAGCCCAUCAAGUCACAGUUUAUGGUGAUGGUAAUGUUAAAGGUAACCCCCCCAACCCAUCCCCCUACACCGAUUAUUCAUCUUAUCUAAAUUAUUGCCCGCUCCCUCACUUUUUUCUAAUUACAACAAUUGCCCUUCACUUUGCAAUAAUUUACUUUUCCAAAUAAUUGUGGUUUAUUCUUUAGAGUUUUUAUUUGCGAAUGUCUAAAUCUU